Molecule: long non-coding RNA, 2489 nt
Filed under: Pavo cristatus (Indian peafowl)
Lineage: Eukaryota; Metazoa; Chordata; Aves; Galliformes; Phasianidae
Description: lncRNA (ENSPSTG00000016009.1)
Source: RNAcentral
AAGAGACUUAAGUCAAUCUAAAGAGUCACAUAGUGUUUUAUUAAAUGAUUUUAUUUAUAUACCACUUGUCUGGUGAAAAUGGACAUUUGCAUGCCUAGCUUUCAGACUUGUUCAUAUGCUCAUCCUAUUUACCAAGCAAAAACUCCUUUCUAAAAUGUAUUUCUGUGUAAUUAGUCUAUGUUGGGCUUUCCUCUUUUUUCCUUAGAGACAGGGCAGCAGCAGCAACCAGUCAGAUUACAGAAGAUAUCUUGGCACCCUCUCUGCAGCCCAGCAUCCCUGCAGUCACUCAGUUCCCAGUUUGUCUGUCUCACAUGGCACUGGUCACGAUGCAGUGCUUUUAUGAGGACAAAGGGUAUAGGGUCUCCCUUGAACAAAAAUGUGAUUUUUGAAAGGUUUAGAAAUCCAAGUAUUUUGAACUUUUUUCAUCACUUCAGGUCCAUGUCUGCUUGGACAGGAAGGAAAAUGGACAAGGAAAAGAAAAGAAAAGGUAGCUGUGCGAGUUCUUCUGAAGCAGACCCUGUCUUUACCAAAGCAAAGUCUGUGAGAUCUGACAGAUCCAACUUCUUCAAAAGGUCAGGGGAUCAAUACUCCAACAUCAGAUCAGAGACCUCCUACACUGGGAGGAAGGCUAGGCAGUCUUCAGAGCUUACAAGGGCUAGUUCUGUCUCUGCUUCCCUCUGCCAAGAGGAAAAGAGGUCAGACAAAUGGAUGUAUAGGCAUGGCUCUAGACGUCGUGCUUCUGAGCAACAGAUAAUGGGUUUGGAUGAGGGCUCAAAUUCUCAGGCAGGACAUCCACCCCCUUUCCACCAACCCCUCAGCUGCAACUCAAUUUGUGGCUCACUGGCAAGGCAGCAUUCUUCUCUCCUACACCGGUUCAGCCAGACCCCAGACUACAGCUCAGAUUCAGAAGACACUCAGAGCUCCAACCACAGGAAGGUAAGACCUUCUGCUACUACUCAUUUCUCUGAAUCUGAAAAGAAUUCAUUAAUGAAAUCUGUAAUUUUGCCUGAGCUAGCUACUGUCUUAAAGGAUGCAUUCACAGCAGCCAGACAAAGUAUAACUUCUGUGGCACAGACUAGGUCACACUCAAUAAAGCAUCCCAGGAUACCAAUUACAGAAGUUCCAGUGGUUCCUCUAGAAGCAACGGGGAGCAGCUCCCAGACUUUUGAGUCUGAUCAAAUAGGCAGCUUAAAAGAUCAAGCAACUUCUGGGAAGGAGAGAGUUGAUGCUUACAAGGCUUUGGAAGUUGAUUCAUCCUCUGAAGAUGAGGAGGUGUCAUCUGAAUCCCCUACAGAAGAUGAAGAAGAACUAGAUGCUGUACGUAAGUUUGGCAUGGAAAAUCAGAGUUAUCUGUUCAAGCACAUUAAAAGAGUGUUAAUGCUGAAAACUUCCGAAGGUGAAUGCCCUUCAGGAGAAAUGCCUAUCUUAUCUGAAGAAGGCAAGGUAGAUAAUGCACUUCCUAUCCAUUCAACAGUGGAAAAUCUCAUCUGUAGGAUUUGGGGUAAUCCUGAGGCAAAACACGAAGCCCCAGAAAUCCUAAGUAAGCUGUAUCCUCUUCCAGUGGAUAAAGCUGCUUUGUGGGGGACCUUGCCUAAGGUAGACAGGCCACUGAUUACUGCUGAUUCUGUGCUUUCAAUGCCUGCUAACAUGGAUGCUCUCCCUAAAGAUCUUACUGAUAGAAAGAUUGAGGAAGAAAUCAAAAGAUCUUUCAAGCUGGUUGCAGCCCAGCUUGGAGUGUCUAUCUACUGCACUUAUGCUUCUAAAGCAUUACUAGUAUGGCUGGAGGAAGAACAAGCCAGAGUCAAAAGAAAAUGGGUCCCAUCUGGUGCCAUACAGAGGAAGCACAGACUCUGUAAACUUGCAGCCAAUUUUAUCCAUGAUGCAGCUGAGGAUUCUCUUAGACUCACAGUUAAAAAUAUGGCAUGCCUCACAGUAGCCUGGAGAGCUAUAUGGCUGCGUCCUUGGACCUCAUCUCUAGAUCUCAGAUGUCGGCUGUUUUCUUUACCGUACACUGGUGGCAAGCUAUUUGGUGACUCCUUGGUCCAGGUCCUGAAGGACUUUGCAGAACACAAACAUUCCUUACAUCAGAUGAAAAAAAAAUGCUCUUUUGGCCGUUCGUUUUCUUAUCCUCACAAGUCUCAGAGUUCCUUCCGUUCUCCUCCAAAGUUUAAAGGAGGAAAGGGAAAGUACAAGAUCUCACAAUCUUUUCAUGCCAGCUAUGAAAGGACAUCUCGUUUUCAAAGAGACAGCAGACCAUCAAGAGGAACUUUCUAAGAACAGCUAAAACUAUCUUCCUUUCUCAGGAACUGGGGAGACUGAAAAAUACGGAAAUUUAUGCUGAAUAAACUUCAAUAUUUCCGGGCAAGUAAGGCCAAUGUUUUGAAAAUGUAUUAUUUCAAAAUACGAUUUAAAUUAUUAAAUUACUUAAAUCUCAAUUGCUAAUUAUGAUUNAUAGCAAGGGUGGAAAGUUUGAUUAAAUUUAUCUCAAG